Betta splendens (Siamese fighting fish) is the source of this 11092-nucleotide RNA transcript. It is a transcript of the gene named leucine rich repeat and Ig domain containing 2, with no coding region annotated. The record is from RefSeq and is a predicted model, not a curated record. NCBI's taxonomy places the organism in Eukaryota, Metazoa, Chordata, Actinopteri, Anabantiformes, Osphronemidae. The transcript has 5 exons.
AGAGAGGGAGAGAGAGAGAGCGAGCGCGAGAAGGACGGCGUGAGAGAUCGAGCCUCAUUCCACUGCUUUCUCAGCAUCCAUUCUGUGCGACCCUGUUCCAGAGAGGACAGCGCCUCAUGUUAGACAAAUUCAAAGAAGGAGACGAAUUCAUCCCAAGAGGACGCAUACGCGGAGAAUAAGACCCAAUUAGGGCUCGCCGGCAUCCUCUGCCGCGUCUCGUAGCUGUGGCGGGGGGCGGCUGAAAGUUUCCGUCAGAGGGGGACGUCUCCACCUCGCCGUGGGGAUGAGCGGCGGAUGCUGAAUCUUAUUCCGGGAGGCAGGAAGCAGGCUGGAUAGGAGGCAGCGGAGCUGGUGGAGCUCCAGGGGAGAUCCUACGGCGCUGCCUCGCUGCCGCUCCAGUAACGCGCACGCCGUCCUCUAAGUGUGCCGCGGUGGAAUAUCUGGGAGCAGGAAGGAAAGUACGGGCAGCGGAUUAUACGCGCGAGCCGCGACGGACAUCCCGUUGGUAAAAAGUAAGUUGUGAUCGGGGUCUGAUUGCGAGGAACUCGGCGGAUUUUGCCCCUUUUUUGGUUCUGGCGGAUCCCGCUGAGCCUCACGCAGCCCGCGUUGUGGACUGUAGGGUUCUGGAGGCUGUUUGAAGGCUGCGCUUGUUCAGGCGCUCACCCGCUGUCCUGCCAUUAAGCAGACAUGUUUUCCGCCGUCUCAGAAAGGCCCCGGAGUAAGUGACCUGUGAAUAGAGUCACUCUGGGAAUUUUCUAAAGGACUUCCUUUGCUUCUCUAACAGUGUAUGGACAUCUGACAUUGGGAAGCCUAGCAGAUAAAAGACUGAAAAGAGGCGCCACCAGACGAAAUCCGAGCGGAAAGAAUAGGCCAUGGCUGUGGGGAUGAUUGCUUCUCCAACUGGUAAGCAUUUGGGUUUCCUCUCUAUAUGCUCUUAGACAGUAUGAACCUGUAAACUCAUCCUCUUCAUUUCCUCUCUAUAUUGGCAAAACAUUUUUAGGUAAGUCUUGCUUAUGCACAUUAUAGACAUCUAUGAAACAAGCCUUCAUUGAAAUGCAUAUUUCCGUGCUUUUUUCCAUUCGCUGUGUUUCCACAAUAGAAGCGCGUUAUUAUGUGCAUGGGAUUGUUUGACAAAUGUCAAGGGCGCUUCUGUUAAACCGUAAGGCAAGGACGUCAUCCUUCACACUUCUUCUGCAGUUCAGAGCUGUUUGGUAGAACAACUCGGGUCUCACGUUGCCAUGGAAACUAUUGUAUUUUGUCUAAGUGCCUCCACAUUCAGCUUUUAGAUCCCUAACAACUGUGUUGUGCACACGUUUGCAUAUGAGAGGGUUAAUUAAUAGCUGCACAAUGAGCGUGAUGUCUUUGUCCAAAGACAACUGAGACGCUAUGUUAAUUAUUUAUGGUUGUAAUAGUGGCAGGCAACGCAUGCACAUACAGUACACUAGCUACAGCGUGACAGCAGUGAAUUCCUAAAGGUUGAGGUUAGUGCGGAGCAGAGUCUGAGGAAAGGACAGACUCACUUAACUCAGACGUUUCAGCAGGAAUCAGACGAGUGCAGCUCCGAAAGGUCAUUAGGAUUCUGGCAGGUUUUGAUCUGGGCGACUGCAGCCUGUUCCAGCCUGUUCCAGAGAGAAAGGCGGAUGUUGGAGCUGCUCUCGUGUAGUUAUGUAAGCCAGGAUUGAGACCAGGCUUUAUAAGAAUAGAUGACAGCGCUGUUGCACCGUCCUUCAGCCUGGUUCACAUUUAUCAUCUUGCAGCUUCCAGGACCUCAGAGUCACUCGUGUUUCUUGAAAUUAGAUAUUGUUUAGGAACAAAUGACCAGCAGCAAAAUAUAGUCGCAGUUCUACAUCCAAUGCGUUUAUAUAGAGAGGGAGGAGGCGCUCAACAUGAAGCGACAAGAUCAAGUUUACAAUUUCAACUUCAGCGCUUACACCCACAGUGAGCACAUUACUAGCGGAAAGCAUGCGUUAGCCAGUAAUGAAUUCAGACCCUUGCCCCAUCGCUGUCUAUCUAGGCCAAGAACCUGCUGGAAAGACUUAUUUGCUGUACCUGAAUUUCAGCAGGUUUAUCUGAAGCAGUGUAUCCCUGAAGCAGGCCUAAUCUGGGAGGAUGACCCACACCGCCCCAGGCUAGAUCAAACUCAGGGCUAAAGCCACAGCUCUCCCACAGUCCCAGCUACGCCACCCUUUGAUAGUCAAAGGCCCAAAUCCUUUAAAUGUCGGGCAGACUUUGAGAGACACUACAGCUCAGGAAAAGAAGCAACCACUUGCUGGGAGCUUACAUUCUCUGGGGAAAAGCAAUGUCCCACUUUCAGAAAAGGGGGAGAGUACCUUCACAUCACUUCAGGCACCACUUGGAGGCUGUGGCAGCAGGUAUGAGGACAUUCAUACUCCCAAAUGGUUUUGUGAAGGUGGAGAAGUGGCCUCCAUCUUACUUCCUCCUGUCUCAUGCAUCACACUUAGGAAGUGAUAGAGGCGAGGGGUCGGCUCCAAAGGGAGUUCAGCCCUCGGUGCACGGUGCCGGCUGACGCUGUCAAACUGCACAAAUGGCCGCACUCUCUGUGUUCACGGAACAUUUUUUACUGUUGUUGUUGAGGGUGGUGAUAAUAGUUAUGAUUUGCAUACCUUUCACGUUCUUAAAGAGCGUUUAGUUUAGUUUUAUGAUGAGCUGUUGCACAUUGGGCAGUGGAUUCAUUUGGCCAGUCAGACACCUGCGGUGAGCGUUGUUCUGCAUGUGGCUAUGGUGACACACUUAAUUUUAAUGUUUGUCAGAAUAAAUGAAGACAUGUAGCCCUGAUGUGUGUUUUAAAGCUCCCAGUAGUCCCCUGCAAGAUAAUAGACAGUCAGGCCUGAAUGUGUUAUUGUUUCAGUCGUGCAGCGAUCCAGGGCCUGAGUCCUGCCUGGGUUCAGACUGGGUUUUUGCUUUUACUCUCCAUUUUUAUGUUCCAUGUUGUCAUAUAGGGGACACACAAAGCAGUUCAGAGAGCUUAUGGUCUUAUAGGGCUCUUUCUGGGGGGGCCGUGGGGAUAGACAGCUCAGAAGUGGAUAAAUGUUUCAUUGCUGUUGGGCAACAAGGAAAAAGAGAUUUUCCUGGGUGUCGAAGUGGAAGAGAUGCCAUUGGGUGGGUGAAAGAGACGAGGUGAAAGCAGGACACGUUGCCCAGCAAACAGUGAGGGGGAAGUGGAAAUAGAAAGGAUGGAAAGAUGCUGUAGAGGGAAGACACAUAAAUAUAGAUGAAAUCAGAGGAGGUGGGAAGGGAGGGAUCAACGACUGAUGAAUGAAAGUGAAUAAUGUGAGACAGAGACAGAGAAACGUGGACUCGGAUCCUGACUGCAUCUGCACCAGGGAUUAUUCUUUUGUGGCUGCUGUUAGCUCAUGACACGAUAACGCAUUCGCAGACGGCGACGGCAGAUGUCAACAAGCUAAUACAGACACAUCUAUUGUGAUUUAUUUGGCAAUCUGGGGACGAAUGCUGCAGAAUUCAUCAUUAAUGACAAUCCUGAUCUACAGAGAAGGAAUUGGCAUCAUUUUAGCAAACAGUACUGGAUAGGUGCCAUUAUGCAACAUGGCCCAGUGUCGUGUGUCCAGAGGGAGCUCAUUUUUAAUUUAAUAUGAAGUUGGAGAAGUUACUUACCCGACGGUUUUAUCUCAUUUGGAUUUAGGGUCACUUAAAUUAGAGGAGACACCAGAGAGAAUGUUCCUGCAGUCGCUUGCCAACACGACUGUAUGUAGUUCAUGAGACAUGGAUCCCAACCACAGCAGCGGCUUUUCCCUUUGAAUCCGCGCUCCCACACCUCGGGGAAACCCGGAAGCGAGACGGAACUAAGAGCCCACAACAGUUCCUCGUCUCUGCUCUCUAACUCGCCUCGAUUCCUGCUUCUCUCACUCAUGUGAGAGAAAGUCUGAAGUAGGUUAGCACUCGGCGCCUGCACAAGGGAGGAAAUUGAAAUGCUGAAAUAAGGAGUAGCUUGGGAGAAGAUGGAGGAGCUAUAACCGGGACAAAAUUGCCCCGCCAUGAUGAGAAGGAGAGUCAUAUCUGCUUGGACACAGGGGAGUUCCUCCACUGGCCAAUCGCGAGGCGUGUUGCCAUCUUUUAUUCUUCAUUCCAAUCUCAGUUUAGUGUCAACACCAGCCUUAUGAAUAGUUCCUUUUUUUUCCCUUCUUCUACGCUUGUUGCAUCCACAUCCCCUGCCAAAAUUGCAUUGCCACGCUGGGGUGUACUGGUUUGUGAGUGUAGGGAUUUAAUAUACUUGAGAAUGAAGCGGGCGUCCUCCUCUGCUCCGCUCUGUUCUUACCAGAAAUUACUCAAGGGAUUUUGAUCGAGCCGCAGGAAUUCGAGCUGCAACUUCAUUGGCUCAGGCACGAGGACGCGCCCGGCCGUAGCCUUAGCCAUAGCAUUAGCCUUAGCCGUAGCCUUAGCCAUAGCCUUAGCCAUAGCCUUAGCCGCAUUAGCACAUGGGGACGCUCUCCUGUGGUAUGUUCAUGUUCAGCAGCAUCACCUUCAGCUUCCUGCCGCUGUCGCUACACUGUCGCUCUCCCUCUUUUCCCCGAGUCACUAUCCUAAUUUCAGCUCUAUGCCGAAGCGCCUCACGCCCACUUCCUAAAUUGGAUAACGGAAAACAAUGUCCACUUCCUAAGCAAUCCAUUUCUCAAAAUCCAUUCGGUUCGAGCUUGAAAGACACACGCUGAGAACAGAUGACAGUGACGUUGAUGCUCUGGCUGUGUGGCAAAUAGCUUGUUGUUUCAUGAGAAUGUGAAAGAGACAUGGACGAGUGGCACAGACAGUCCCAAUUCAUUAACCCGUAACGGGUGGCAGGUCUGACGCGCAGCGCUGCUUUUGAAGGCUUGUCACUCUGCUGAAUAUUUUAUGCAAAGCCAGGUCUCUCUACUGUAACAUAUUCCUUCCAGCUGCGUCGCAGACAGUACAGGCUCCAUUUGUCUUGUCCUCGCUGCGAGGCAAACCUCCCCCAUCAGUCUUAAUGAUAAACACAUGAUUUGCCAGAGGUCAUUUUUUAAAAAUAAAAAGUCUUUAGUUUUUGUCUUUUAUAAUUUCCUGAUGACUGAUUCAUAGGAAAUGAAGUUCAUUUUAUAUUAUUUUUUGUUUGUUGCUCUGUAUUCGACUGCUGCUUUCUGUGCACAUGUUCCUGUGCAUAAACUCCCUGGAGAAUCUACACAGAAAAGGGUUUAAUGGAUAAGCUUGGGUCAAAGUGGCUGAAAGAGCCAUGUGGUCCUGAUGGCUGCGCCUCCACAAGAGGGGUUGGAAAUGGAGAAGGAAAAAACGUACAGUAGGUUUGCUGCAGCGGUACGGUCUAAAAGCCACGUCUACAGUAAUACCCAGAGUCCAUUUCUACAUGCACCCACAUGCAGCACAGCCCAGAGAGAGGUUCAGGGCUUGGGCUUCACUGCAUCAAAAUGCACUGUGCCAAGUCAGAAAAGACGGGCCGGUCCCCAGACAGGAGCAAACACGCUGAUCCAGGAACAGCAGCAGUCAACCACUGUAGUGAUGAGUGGCUCGGUCCCAGGACGCUACAGGAGGGAGCGUGAGUCGAGGCCUCUCCGGUCCGUUCAAGGCUGGACCCAACUCAGAUUAAAGGAGCUGCUCGCUCACAGAAGAGUCAUCUCUAUUAUCACGACUUCAUUGUCAGUCAUUGUUACUGUAGUCUACUAGUUGCUGAUGACCUUAUUAUUGCAAAAUGGAGACACCACCAGCACAUAAUGUCAUUACCAUCAAUGUGUCUUAGCAUCAGAGCUGGAGGUAAUGUUCUGUUUUUAUAUAUAGCACCAAAACACACCAAAGUCGUCUCCAGGCACUUCACCGCGUGAGGUCCAAGGCCUGAACACAAAAAUACAGUUGAAUAAAACACGAUAGACAGAGCAACAAAUCCCAGCUGAGCAGCUCUAGAAAGAAAAGACGAAGCACGGGUGGGUUGGAGGAGCGAGCGAGCGGGUCCGGCGGUACCUGCGGAGCGGAGCGGCGCCGAGCGAGAGCACUGGCUUUCUUUAUUGUGCGAGAUUACAAGUCACCGAAGACGUGUGGGCCGCUAGAAAGUGAUGCACAAGGAGAAGGGAGUAAACGAGAAUGUGGGGGUGUUUAUUUGAUCACGAUGAUUACCGCCGCUCUUCUGAGACGCCGACCCGCCUCAGAAACAACGCGAAGACGUAACCCAGCGCCACAACCCCCCCCGUGAUUGACUGGACCGGCGCCGGCUCAUUCUUUCCAUGCACAUGCUCUCUGUUUGGGCUUAUUUACUGCUCCAACACACCGGCAGCCCACCUCAGAUGGCCACGCAGCACUGUAAAGAGCCAGCAAGCGAAUCAGUAGUUACAUUUUAAAUCAAAGAAAUGGAGAGAGGGGUUUUUAAUGGACUCCACUCAGUGUGUCUGUGAAAAGAUUAAGCCCCCGCUGACUGGGAGGAGGCUCGAUGUCUCUCCCCGCAGAAUCAACACAUGAAAGAGCUCCGCUUCCCCGAGGCCAUUCCUCUGUUGAACAGUGUGCCGGCGCCGGACCGGCCCUCGCGCUCCACACUUUGUGUUGUGACGCAGUGGAUGCAGCUGAGUGUGUUCAACACAUCCAAACAUGCUCAGAUCAAUUUAUGCUGGACGUACGGCGCUUCCACCAGCGUUUUGCCCAUGAGGCUGUUUAUUGUUAGCGCUGCUGUGAAGCCCUGACGUACUCCACAUGUCCAUGAGCCACAGUCAUCUUUCUGUCUUUAUCGACUUCAUGUUGUUUAUAUAUGAGCCCAAGUAUGAAGCUACGUAACCCAGGAUAUGAUUUGCAUUUGCAUUUGGUUCUCAGGUCACAAGCGUCUUUGUUCAGAGGUAAUUUGUGACAUUUCCUGCCUUUCUAAUGUGCUUUUACACCAUCAGUUGUCUGGUGGAGAGGAAGGCUGGGUAGGGAGUCAAUAGCUCUAUUAGUUCUUCCACAGCAAAUCCAUACUAUAGGAAGGAACACUUAAUUAAAGACAAAAUACAGGCCAUCAUUAUGAAGACAAUGAGGGUCAGUCAAUCAAAAACUGUCCUGAUUCACGAGCGUUUGAGGUGAUAAUUAUGAGGCAAAGCCAAGAACGCCCUCUUCAAUUUAUUAUGUGUAUUUUUAGUAUUAAUUUCCAAUGGUGCAAAUAAAUGAAGGUUUAAAAUAACUGAUCUUUGGAAGGUUUUGGUAAAUGACUGUUUUAAACCAACCCAUGAAAAGGCCUUUUUUAGAUGACACUGAAGCGAGCGUGGAUGAAGCCGGCCUCACGUCGCCCACGGGGAGCAGUUCCAGCGCCGGCGCCGGUUGUAGGUUAUGGCUUUGCUGAUGCUACAACAGGAAUUGUCCAGAUCGUGCUGGAAUCGUGUUCACCUUCCCCCAGAGUCCAGCGUUAGUGGAUUUCAUGCAGUGAAUGGGCUUGAAAUCCUCCACGGCCGCAAUCAGCGCCGGCAGAAACCAGCGGGAGAGCGCGCCACCUGUGCUGCGCUCCCACAUCUGCAUUGUUUCCCCGCGUAGACGGGAUCCACGCACAUCCAGGUUUACGGGCAGGUAAACUCUGAGCGCGUGCGCCGCCAGCGCCGCCGCUGCUUCCUGCGUCGUCGCGAUGCACGCAGAUGUGCUCCACGCGCACAUUUGCUGCAGCGUUGGCGCUUUUAUUAGGUUUCAGACAGACUGAGCGAUGUCAGGCGCCCAGUGCUCACCCUCCUCUCUGCAGCAAUCUAUUCUUACCUAAUUAUUUGGUGGGGUGGACUUGAGACCUGCCUUAAUUUGCAACUACGCGGUGUGCAAUUAAUCAAGGCCCUUGCUAACUGACAGCCCUAAUGGAUGCACUCAGCUCCUCUGUGAUUGUCUUCUGACUGCCCGUUCCUCCGGUGCGUAGCCGCAGAAUUUGGACAAGCAUAUCCUUCAAGAGUGGCUACACAUACGAGAACACUUCCCCCGAAUUGAAUGGUGGGGUGGAGUGCGGAGCGAGUACAUUCAUCUUUGCUUACCCACACCCACCUCUCAGUCGCGCCGUGGUAAUAGCCAUGCUGGUAAUAUCAGCCUUUGGUUCUUGAUGAUACCAAAAGGCCCGUGCUCGACUGAAGCGUCCGCGGCAGCAAUUCAGAUUGACUUUAAACACAUCCUGCUUUUUGUUUGCUUUGUUUUUCAUUUGAGCAGAAGAGUAGAGGUUAUAUGCUUACAUAAAAGGGAGGAAGCGAGUGGCAUUGAGACAAAGGCAAGCACAGGUGCUUUUAAGGUUUCCAAACAGUCCUCUGGCACUUAAGGUUUCUCCCGCACUCACACGGAGAGAGAGCGAGGAUGCUGCCUGAGGUAAUGUAAUGACAGAUAUGUGGCUGCAUUUACACCUGGAAAAAAACUUUUCAGAGAAAGUCUGCGUUCUCCAAAGAUCUGACCCCUGUGAGGGUGUGAUGAUGUGCUCUGUAGAGCAUUAGUUCUAAACUUUGCGGAUACAAUUCAAGUGCAUUACACCUUCAGAGAGACCUUUUUAUGCUGGAUCUCAGGGUGAGAUGGUGGAACUAUAGGCCUCAUCACGGCACUUAAAAAUCACAAGCACUUUAGCUGUACAGCCUCGUAAGUACCACACGAGUGUGUAGUAUUUCUUAGGUAGACGUAGUUCCACUUUGUAUCUCACAUGGUCUGUUGACCUUUUCACAUCUUCUCCAGCCUUUUCUUUCCACCCUCACAAUAGCUUUGUCAAAUCAGCUGGUAAAAAUACUGUAGUUUCAGUUUUUAUGGUUCCCAUAAUCUCAUCUUGAAUACAUAUUUCAUAGCACAAUUUCUUUUUUCUCUUUGAAUAAGUGCAAAAUUAUAAUUUUAAAAUGACUUAACAGUUUGUAAGGAUUCAGAUGGUGCUAACGGUCCAUGAUAGAAUCCCAGACACAGUCGUCAUUGUCUACUUCCAUCAUUGUUUCUGCUUUAUGGACCCACAGGCAGCCGCGAAUGACAAAUUACUGAGGGUACAUGAUGAGGAGUUGCUGUAAUGAAUCGCAAACAGUGCCAAAGAAGAAAGAUGGGUGGAGACAGCCGAGUGCCAAUGUGACGGGUGAAAGCGGGACGAAAUUCCCGAAAGCAGCGGCGCUGAUGUUGUUGCUUCUGACAGCAGUGCUGAGGAGUGCAGCUCAACCCGCAAACUUUUUCCCUAUGUAAAAGCCCCGGAUGGCUGCGAGCCUAACAAGCUUCUUUAAGCGCUGUGCCAGUUCCUCUUUCCCUCCAUCCGUCUCUCCAUCAGACCCAUCAGGAGAUUUACGGAGAUGAGACUUUGGACCGGUUCGCAGCGGUUGGCACAAAUUAAUAGCACAACCUGCCGUCAGUAAAAUUUCACGAUUUGACUCUUUUAAUGUGCACUAACUGCACUCACGUCGUCGGCAGUGGCUGUGUUAUUUCUCCCGGAGUCUGUGUGGGUGGUCUCUGGGUCCUCCCGCUCCCUCCCACCGUCCAAAGACGUGCCAUUAGGUUAAUUGGUGAUUUGAACUGGUAUGAAGUGCCUGUGUGUGUCAGCCUGUGUUGGACUGGUGACCUGGUGACAGCUGGAAUUGGCUCUGCAGCACUUAGGUUCCAUAAUGGAUGGAUGGAUAUUAUAGUACUACAAGCAGUGGUUCCACUGAGGAUGCUGUCGUCGUCUUCUCCUGUGUUGAAUAGAUGUCCCUGAUUAGUAAUUAAGUGCAAUCAUGUGAAUUGUUCCUCAUGUGAUUUAAAAAUCCAUCUACUUCUGUAUGUCAUACUUGUUGUUGUCCUCUGUUUAAUAGAGAAGCUCCCUGGCUGGUUUUCUAUACUGUAGUCACACUAUACAUCCACAGUCCUUACUUCUAUGUGAUGAAGUUAACAAUAAUUGAAUUAACCUUUUGAUAUAACCCCGAAAUUGCAUAACGGCGUGGCCGAGCCUCGCUGACGUUACUUUGGAUUAAAACAUGCACCAGAUGGCAUCUGCUAAUCCAACUGUGACAGCAUUGCUUGAGAUACCAGUGACCAAAAAACUGCCCAAAAUACCACUGCCGACAAUGUGCGCCUCGACCUUUGUGGUCUCUCUCCCAGAUGGAGCGUGUACAUUGAUGGAAAAGCCCCAGGGUUAUGGUGAUAUGAAUGGCCAAGUGCUGACCUUUGACUCUGCGGCGCUUUACCCCCAACUGUGAAUAAAUGACUCUAAAGGGCCCCAUCCCUGAGCAUUAAUGUGCUCAGCAAAGCUUCAAGCUGCUCACAGGGAGCAGAGUGAAAAAUGUGCCAUUAAGUCCGUACAGUGCAGUGAGACAGUGACAGUAAAUGUUGGAACAGCUCUUUUAGGAGCCCUGUUGCUUUUGUCGUUCACAAAUCAGCUCUGUGUUAAGGGCACGAAAGGUAACAAUGCAGGAGCCGGGCUGAGAUUAAACACAAUGUGAAGUAAUGAAACGUAUUAAUCAAGUUGAUAAUUGCUACCGGCACAUUUUAAUCAGGUAAAAUUAAAGGUAACAAUUUAAACUAAUUGAGUAAAUGAGCAAGUCUCAAAAGAACAUAAUCAUGAAUGUUCUGAAGUUCUGAAAUCCCAGUUUGUCUUUUAGAGUAUUUAAAUAUUAUUAGUACUUGCAGUAGUAUCUAGCUAAACGUAUUUAUAAAACACAAGAUACGUAACUGUGAUGAAUGUAUUAUAGAGAUUAAGCAAAUUAUCUGUUUUCUUCCUAAUUAAAUGGGAUACAUGAACUGAACAUAAAACUGAGGCAAAAACGAGCCUGAACGGCUGAGUCUGUUAGUUCCCGUGAUGCUUCUCUCCUCGUGCAGCAGCCGCCCGCUGUCGUCUGGGCCUCGGAGGCCACAGCAGGAGCAAGUGAGAGCGUGGACGAGAGCCGUCCACAGAGAUCAGGAUGGCGUUGCAGAUGGCGCGCGCUCACCCACAGAGCGGGAUCCAGUUGGUCUCACAGGGAACAGCGAAGCGAAGCCGUGAUGCGUUCACGUGCGUGGGUCAUUCAGCUUUCCGAGGAUCCCCUGAACAAACACAGUUCAGGAGGAUCCACGAGACAGAAUGUUUAAUUCUCCAUCUAAGUGAGUUGUGAUUGUCUGGUCACGGCUGUUCCGAGGCUCAUCAUGCUCCAGGAUUGCUUCCUCACAAAAGCAAAUGUGCGCAGCUAAAGGAAAACCACGCAGACAUUAA